Molecule: ribosomal RNA, 887 nt
Filed under: Halopseudomonas salina
Lineage: Bacteria; Pseudomonadati; Pseudomonadota; Gammaproteobacteria; Pseudomonadales; Pseudomonadaceae
Description: bacterial SSU rRNA
Rfam family: Bacterial small subunit ribosomal RNA
Source: RNAcentral
GCUUGCUUCUCUUGAGAGCGGCGGACGGGUGAGUAAUACCUGGGAAUCUGCCUGAUAGUGGGGGAUAACGUUCGGAAACGGACGCUAAUACCGCAUACGUCCUACGGGAGAAAGCAGGGGAUCUUCGGACCUUGCGCUAUCAGAUGAGCCCAGGUCGGAUUAGCUUGUUGGUGAGGUAACGGCUCACCAAGGCUGCGAUCCGUAACUGGUCUGAGAGGAUGAUCAGUCACACUGGAACUGAGACACGGUCCAGACUCCUACGGGAGGCAGCAGUGGGGAAUAUUGGACAAUGGGGGAAACCCUGAUCCAGCCAUGCCGCGUGUGUGAAGAAGGUCUUCGGAUUGUAAAGCACUUUAAGUUGGGAGGAAGGGCUGAUGCUUAAUACGUAUCAGUCUUGACGUUACCGACAGAAUAAGCACCGGCUAACUCUGUGCCAGCAGCCGCGGUAAUACAGAGGGUGCAAGCGUUAAUCGGAAUUACUGGGCGUAAAGCGCGCGUAGGUGGCUAAGUAAGAUGGGUGUGAAAUCCCCGGGCUCAACCUGGGAACUGCAUCCAUAACUGCUUAGCUAGAGUACGGUAGAGGGUAGUGGAAUUUCCUGUGUAGCGGUGAAAUGCGUAGAUAUAGGAAGGAACACCAGUGGCGAAGGCGACUACCUGGACUGAUACUGACACUGAGGUGCGAAAGCGUGGGGAGCAAACAGGAUUAGAUACCCUGGUAGUCCACGCCGUAAACGAUGUCAACUAGCCGUUGGGAACCUUGAGUUCUUAGUGGCGCAGCUAACGCACUAAGUUGACCGCCUGGGGAGUACGGUCGCAAGAUUAAAACUCAAAUGAAUUGACGGGGGCCCGCACAAGCGGUGGAACAUGUGGUUUAAUUCGAAGCAACG